UUCCAGGAUGUUCUGAGGAAUACUGUGGGAAGACUGGUAUAGAUUGGGGGUUGGAUGCUAUCUACUGUUUCUUUUCCCUAGUUUUCCAGGAUGUCCAGAAAAGUCAGUGGGAACACCAGUGUGGAUGAAGCGUUGGGAUGGAGGUUGACGCUCUGUCCUGUGUUCAUUUCUGUAGUUUUCCAGGAUGUCCUGAGGCUGCCAGUGGGAAGAUGGUAUGGAUGAGGAGUUGGGAUAGAGGCUGGCCAGGGGCAGAUAGUGGGAAGACGGGUAUGGCUGGGAGUUGGGAUGGAGGUGAGAAAGUUGACCUUGUUCCUCUGUUGCCUCCACAAGCAGAUGUAGCUCCCUCCUUGAACUGUU
Molecule: non-coding RNA, 357 nt
Organism: Lepisosteus oculatus (spotted gar)
Lineage: Eukaryota; Metazoa; Chordata; Actinopteri; Semionotiformes; Lepisosteidae
Source: RefSeq, a predicted model, not a curated record